UGAACUGGCCCAGAACAUAAUUGAAUCCAUGUUGUUUUUUGAAGACAUUCCUAGAAUCCAGUGAGUUGUUUUAAUCUGAUUCUAAGAAUGUCUUCAAAAACAACAUGGAUUCUCUUGCACAAAUUCUAAGAAU
Molecule: microRNA precursor, 133 nt
Organism: Equus asinus (donkey)
Lineage: Eukaryota; Metazoa; Chordata; Mammalia; Perissodactyla; Equidae
Source: Ensembl